RNAcentral lists this transfer RNA (75 nucleotides) under Sphingobacteriaceae bacterium. RNAcentral describes it as "tRNA-Arg". It matches the Rfam family "tRNA". Rfam says of the family: Transfer RNA (tRNA) molecules are approximately 80 nucleotides in length. Their secondary structure includes four short double-helical elements and three loops (D, anti-codon, and T loops). The record is from RNAcentral. Lineage: Bacteria; Pseudomonadati; Bacteroidota; Sphingobacteriia; Sphingobacteriales; Sphingobacteriaceae.
GCAUUCUUAGCUCAGUAGGAUAAGAGCUGCAAUCUUCUAAGUUGUCGGUCGUAGGUUCGAGUCCUACAGAAUGCA